Molecule: long non-coding RNA, 3150 nt
Filed under: Lactuca sativa (garden lettuce)
Lineage: Eukaryota; Viridiplantae; Streptophyta; Magnoliopsida; Asterales; Asteraceae
Description: long non-coding RNA (LSAT_LNC007412)
Source: RNAcentral
UUUUAAACCAUAGUUUUGCCAAGACACAUACAAUAUCCUAAUCCUAUAUCAUUUACCCUUUCGAGACACGUGUAGCAGCUAAACAAUAACCCAAUUUAUUGCACAAUUUGUAUACCCCCCAAAUGUCAUUGCAUUAAACAUGCCAAUAACCCUAAGACGAUUUCAUUUUCUCUGGCACAACGCAUAGCAUUGUUUGUUUUCCAUUUUUCACUGGAAACUCAAUCUCAGUCUCCAUCAAUUAAAGAUCAGAAGCAAAUAAUUCAUGGGAUUGUAUUUGAAACAAAUUAGAUUGAAGAACUUUUGUUGGUGUCGAUUGCAAAUCAGGAAGAAAGUUGAGAAAUUGGAAGCUGUUAAUAGAAAUACGAAGGUAAGAUUCAACACAUCCCUGUAUCUAUUGUUCAUAUUUCUUCAUUAUUAAUAGAAAAUAUACAUAUUUACAUAUAAUAACUUACCUAUUGAAUAUGCAGGAAUAAUUUCUUUGAAGAUGAUAGGCAAAACACGUUCUCCUCAAAACGAAAAUGAAUAUUGGGUGUAUCUGAAAUGAUCAGGUACUUUGAAGAGUAAAUUACACGAAUGGUCACUAUGGUUAGGGUAAUUUGCAAGUUUGAUUCCUAACUUAAUUUUUUAACUCGGAAGGUCCUUACUGUUUUGUUUUUGUUACGCACUUGGUCCCUGUCUUACCUAAAAAGACUAUUUUGCCCUUGAUUUUUAAAUAUUUUUUAAAUAAACACACCCCAACCCUACCCACCUCUCAUUACCUUACCUACCUCACCAUUUUUUCCUAUUUAAAUAAUAGUCUUUUUAAGUAAGAUAGGGACCAAGCGUGUAACAAACACAAACAGUAGGGACCUUCCGAGUUAAAAAAAUAAGUUAGAGAUCAAGCGUGCAAAUUACCCCAAACCAUAGGGACCAUUCGUGUAAUUUACUCUACUUUGAAAGCUUUCAGCAAAUAUAAUUGUUCAAUUUUGAAAAUCGAAAAUGCUAAAUUAGGAGAUGAAUCUUGAUCAUAUAUAUUCAAAAUUAAAUAGAUUUUUUUUUUCAUUAUUUACCUUCCUUACACAGAGAAACAAUCACAACCCUUGUGGAAAUCAUCUUAAAUUGUGUAUGAAACGGAAAUUUUGAUUUUAUAUAUAUGAGCUUCGAAUCGUUUUUUUUUUCUAAAGUUUCUGGGCAAAACAUAUUGAGAUAAAAUAAACAUUGAUGGAUGUUUGUCUGGGGUUAGCAUGCUAUUCAAAAGAAAAAUAGAAUUGCUACCCUAUAAUCAUUUGAACAAACCAUGUCUCUUAUGUAUAGAGUUGACCACUGCAUAUUUUAGUUGUACAUUUAAUAGAGUAAAUUGUUAUGAACAAUUUUAGGUGAUUUUUUAGAUCUAGGAUGUGAAAGUAUUUCGGUCUCUUCUUUCUUUUAUAUAUCAAAUUUGAAGAUGGAUCUAUAACAGCAUAAAAGUGUCAUAUAGCCAUGCUGGAAAUGACUGCAAUUUCAUGAUAUCAACCCUUACAAUUAUGCAAUUACCAUACAUAUUUUAUUAAGAUAUAAAGUUGAAUAUUUCGACUGUUACUUGAAUUUUUAGUUCAACAUCAUUUAUAUUUUGAAGGUUUAGUUUAAGUGCUUUAUUUAUAUUACAAUUUUGGUUUAUUUAUGCAAGAUUCUAAAUUUACAUAAGCAUAUUCCUACGAUUUACAUGUAUAUCAUGAUCAACCUAGCACCAAAUUGUGAUCUCUUCAAUCAUCUGUCGUUAUUUUUUUCUAUUGCGCAUCGUAGCAAGAUUAAAAUAAGAGUAAUGUCCAGUUAUAGAAAAGGGUAAAAUUGUCCAGUUAUGUUAAAAAACUAUUUGCAUAAAGGGUAAUAGUAGAUAACACAUAAACAGAAAAGGGCAGAAUUGUCCAGUUCUGUUAAUAAAACAUAUUUGCAUAUUUUUUUACUUUUUAUUAGUAUAUAACACAUAAACAGAAAAAUAAAGGAAUAAAAACAUCAUAAAUAAGAGUAAUGUCAUAAAUAAGAGUAGUGUCACGAGCAUAUGCAAAAGUAUGUUACCCUAUUAGGAAUGUCAUUAUUAGGUAUAAGAUACCAGAAAAGGGCAGAAUUGUCCAGUUCUGUUAAUUUUUUUAGCAUAUUUUUUACUUUCUAUUAGUAUAUAACAACAUAUAAACAGAAAAAUAAAAGAAUAAAACAUUAUAAAUAAUAGUAAUGUCAUAAACAUAUUCAAAAGUAGGUUGCCCUAUUAGGAAUGUCAUGUCAAUAUUUGAUAUUGCAUAACAGAAAAGGGCAUAAUUGUCGAGUUUUGUUAAAAAAAAAUUUGCAUAUUUUUUAUUAGCAUAUGGAAACAGAAGCAGUACACUUUUUGUUACCACUGCAUCAAUAUCACUAUUUGUUAUGAUUGAAACAUAUAAUAAAGAUUUAGUGGUUUGAAGUCCAUCCGUAUUGAACAUGACUCAUGGGUAACUACAGUUUAAAGUUUUUUUUAUAGAAAAAAAGCAAUAGACAUUUGCCGUAUACGGAUACAUAUAUGCAUACCUAUGCAUAACAUGAGGAGAAGGAGAACUGUAACAGAAGAACAAUACUUACUGUAACUGAAUAAGAAGUAUAGAUGAGAAUAAAUUACUAGAUUCGCAAAGAAAAAGACGUACAGAGGAACUAAAGUUUGAAAGACGCAAAUGUUAGAAAUAUUUUUAGAUGACAGAUUUAUAUAAAUGAUGAAAGCGCAAAGAUUAUUUCAUUCCCUAUUAUAAUGCAGAUAUAAUGGGUAAAAGAUAAAUAAAAUCAAAAAGAUUGCUUAGAAUAUGGUAACAGAGUUGCUAAUUAGUAGGAGACUCCCAAAUUAUCGUUUUCUAUGAUUUUGAUUUGAUCAAAACAUUUUCUAUGUAUUUGAUUUUCGUUAUUAAUGCAAUGGGCGGGAAAAGAUUUCUAAGGAGAUGUGAGAAAAUUACACAUGGAUUGAAGGAGUUUAUAAGAGGGACACGUGGCACCUUAGAUAGCCUUUUAUUAGGAAGAGAGAUAUGUCUUUGUUUAUACAUAUUAAAAUGCAUGCAUGUGAUAUUUAUUUUAUGUUAUUGUACUUUAUGUUUUAUGUAUGAAAAUGAGUCUUACAUUUCAAACAACAUUUUAACAUAAGAUAAUAUCACUUGGAGUUUGAGUACAAAAUAUUUAAAA